Molecule: microRNA, 22 nt
Filed under: Xenopus laevis (African clawed frog)
Lineage: Eukaryota; Metazoa; Chordata; Amphibia; Anura; Pipidae
Also listed under: 14 other names
Description: xla-miR-216-3p
Gene: xla-miR-216-3p
Source: miRBase by way of RNAcentral
CACAGUGGUCUCUGGGAUUAUG